CGCGAACGCUGGCGGCAUGGCUAAAACAUGCAAGUCGAGCGCGAAAGUCCCUUCGGGGGCGAGUAGAGCGGCGAAAGGGCGAGUAAUGCGUUCCUACGUACCCCGAGGUCAGGGAUAGCCCAUGGAAACGUGGAGUAAUACCUGAUGUGGUGCUUCGGCAUCAAAGGCUUGCCGCCUCGGGAGCGGGGAACGUCCUAUCAGGUUGUUGGUGAGGUAAAAGCUCACCAAGCCGAAGACGGGUAGCGGGUGUGAGAGCAUGACCCGCCGCAUCGGGACUGAGACACUGCCCGGACUCCUACGGGAGGCUGCAGUAACGAAUCUUCCGCAAUGCGCGAAAGCGUGACGGAGCAAUGCCGCGUGCAGGAUGGAGCCCCUCGGGGUGUGAACUGCUGUCAGGGUUUAGAAACACAAUGAUCAGACCCAAAGGAAGGGCCGGCUAACUUCG
RNAcentral lists this ribosomal RNA (445 nucleotides) under uncultured Phycisphaerales bacterium. RNAcentral describes it as "bacterial SSU rRNA". It matches the Rfam family "Bacterial small subunit ribosomal RNA", at positions 29 to 505 of the family's 1533-position model. Lineage: Bacteria; Pseudomonadati; Planctomycetota; Phycisphaerae; Phycisphaerales. The record is from RNAcentral.